AUACGGAGGGUGCAAGCGUUAAUCGGAAUUACUGGGCGUAAAGCGUACGUAGGCGGUUCGUUAAGUUAGAUGUGAAAGCCCCGGGCUUAACCUGGGAACUGCAUAUAAAACUGGCGAACUAGAGUUGAGUAGAGGGGAGUGGAAUUUCAGGUGUAGCGGUGAAAUGCGUAGAGAUCUGAAGGAACACCAGUGGCGAAGGCGACUCCCUGGACUCGAACUGACGCUGAGGUACGAAAGCGUGGGUAGCAAACGGGAUUAGAAACCCCUGUAGUCC
RNAcentral lists this ribosomal RNA (274 nucleotides) under uncultured bacterium. RNAcentral's name for it is "partial 16S ribosomal RNA". It matches the Rfam family "Bacterial small subunit ribosomal RNA", at positions 523 to 796 of the family's 1533-position model. The record is from RNAcentral.